CCUACGGGAGGCAGCAGUGGGGAAUCUUGCGCAAUGGGCGAAAGCCUGACGCAGCAACGCCGCGUGAGGGAUGACGGUCUUCGGAUUGUAAACCUCUUUCAAGCAGGGACGAUAAUGACGGUACCUGCAGAAGAAGCUCCGGCCAACUACGUGCCAGCAGCCGCGGUAAU
This 170-nucleotide ribosomal RNA is filed under the name uncultured soil bacterium. Its description in RNAcentral is "partial 16S ribosomal RNA". It matches the Rfam family "Bacterial small subunit ribosomal RNA", at positions 338 to 524 of the family's 1533-position model. The record is from RNAcentral.